RNAcentral lists this unclassified non-coding RNA (215 nucleotides) under Hevea brasiliensis (rubber tree). The record is from RNAcentral. Lineage: Eukaryota; Viridiplantae; Streptophyta; Magnoliopsida; Malpighiales; Euphorbiaceae.
UGAAACUCUGCUAGAUGAGUUCGAUCAACAGCUUCGUUCCGGAAUACGCGAUCUAUCGAGAAAUACCUCUUGGGCAUGAAAGGUUUCUGCUGAGCUAGCUUAUAAAGCAUUCUUGCAGAAACAGCAGUUGUGUGAGUUCGGAGCACAUUUUUCUCUGCUUCCUCCAGUUUCCAGUCAUAUCCAUAUCCUUUCGACCCAUAACCACCAGACUCAUG